UAAAUUCUCAACUUCAAAAGGAUUCUUGUCUUUUUUGAAGCUUGGACUAUGGAAGUUUGCUGGUGUCACUAUCAGCUCUUCUUAAAUGCAUUAGCGGAACUUUGAAGGACCAGCUUUGGUUUGAUAAUCCUAUCUAUGCCGCUGCUGUGGACUUGUGUGUGUUCAGCUCCUAAUGGUCUUCGGACUGUCUCCAUUGUGAGGCAUACACUUUUUAA
Molecule: unclassified non-coding RNA, 215 nt
Filed under: uncultured Clavariaceae
Lineage: Eukaryota; Fungi; Basidiomycota; Agaricomycetes; Agaricales; Clavariaceae
Description: sequence contains ITS2
Source: RNAcentral